Long non-coding RNA from Spinacia oleracea (spinach), 856 nucleotides. RefSeq lists it as uncharacterized. The record is from RefSeq and is a predicted model, not a curated record. The transcript is spliced from 2 exons. NCBI's taxonomy places the organism in Eukaryota, Viridiplantae, Streptophyta, Magnoliopsida, Caryophyllales, Amaranthaceae.
UUAAAAUGUUUGCGUUUUAAUCCCGGUACAACUAGAUCUAGGUGCACACGCCUGCACCAUCGAAAUUGCUUAAUUAUCAACCCUUUUCCUCUCAGCAUUAUCUUGGUACGGAGUACUCUCUAAUAUCUCAUCACAAUAUCACAUACAUCUCUCCUCCCACAUUUAUCACCGCAAUCUCUCUCCUACCAAAUAUCUAACUUUUUCCUUCUCCGUCAAUCGGGCCGACCACAACGCCUAGCUAUGAAUAAUUCCUCUAGUUUUCAGAUUCGAUCCGUCUAGGUAUUGCCCGUUAGCUUUGAUGAUGCAAUUGGGGUUUAAAGCACCAGACCUGGAAUUCAAUUUCUAAGAAAGCGUUAGAUGAAAAAAUCGGUAAUAGGCGGCAAACAAAUUGGAAAACCAAUAUAUCAUUCUUCUAUUUUCGUAUUAUUAGGGCUUUUGUCUCACGUUUCUCCGUCGACGAUGGCGAUGAUUUUGAUUAUAAAUUUCUUGCCUUGAAUGAGAAGAGAAUACUUACAUGUAUCGCGCGGCAACGCUGAUGGAGCUUUUGGGGAUGAACACAAAAUUAUGUUUGUUUGAUUUGUUCUGUUUUGUUUUCUUUGAAUUGCUUAGACUUACUGUUUAUUUUUGCGAAUUAUCAAUCACAGCAGAAUACAUUAAAUUAAAUUGGCAAAAGAAAGAAGAUUUAUUUUGUUUCUCCGUAUUUUGAACUUUUAGAUUUUGUACAAUUUUAAUAAUUUGGAAUGUUAUUUGGACUUUUACGGAGAGAUUUGUAACAGAGGAAUUUUACAAAGAUUGUGUAAUAACUAUAAUUCCUUCUUUCAAGGAAAAUGGGAGAGAUUGCAGGCUUUGAUUUACA